Molecule: non-coding RNA, 507 nt
Filed under: Drosophila virilis
Lineage: Eukaryota; Metazoa; Arthropoda; Insecta; Diptera; Drosophilidae
Description: Eukaryotic large subunit ribosomal RNA
Rfam family: Eukaryotic large subunit ribosomal RNA
Source: Rfam by way of RNAcentral
CAACCUCAACUCAUAUGGGACUACCCCCUGAAUUUAAGCAUAUUAAUUAGGGGAGGAAAAGAAACUAACAAGGAUUUUCUUAGUAGCGGCGAGCGAAAAGAAAUCAGUUCAGCACUAAGUCACUUUGUCUAUAUGGCAAAUGUGAGAUGCAGUGUACGGAACAUCAACAUUCUAGUAUGAGAAGUUAACGAUUUAAGUCCUUCUUAAAUGAGGCCAUUUACCCAUAGAGGGUGCCAGGCCCGUAUAACGUUAAUGAUUACUAGAUGGUGUUUCCAAAGAGUCGUGUUGCUUGAUAGUGCAGCACUAAGUGGGUGGUAAACUCCAUCUAAAACUAAAUAUAACCAUGAGACCGAUAGUAAACAAGUACCGUGAGGGAAAGUUGAAAAGAACUCUGAAUAGAGAGUUAAAUAGUACGUGAAACUGCUUAGAGGUUAAGCCCGAUGAACCUGAAUAUCCGUUAUGGAAAAUUCAUCAUUAGAAUUGUAAUAUUUUAAACAAUAUGAAUCC